AUACCUUUCUCGGCCUUUUGGCUAAGAUCAAGUGUCGUAUCUGUUCUUAUCAGUUUAAUAUCUGAUAUGUGGGCCAUCGGCCCACACGAUAUUAACUUAAUUUUUAGGGGUUUUGACAUGGUGUGACAACGUACUCACA
This 139-nucleotide small nuclear RNA is filed under the name Nicotiana attenuata. Its description in RNAcentral is "snRNA U2". It matches the Rfam family "U2 spliceosomal RNA". From Rfam's summary of the family: U2 is a small nuclear RNA (snRNA) component of the spliceosome (involved in pre-mRNA splicing). Complementary binding between U2 snRNA (in an area lying towards the 5' end but 3' to hairpin I) and the branchpoint sequence (BPS) of the intron results the bulging out of an unpaired adenosine, on the BPS, which initiates a nucleophilic attack at the intronic 5' splice site, thus starting the first of two transesterification reactions that mediate splicing. The record is from Rfam by way of RNAcentral. Lineage: Eukaryota; Viridiplantae; Streptophyta; Magnoliopsida; Solanales; Solanaceae.